GCCAGGGUAGCUCAGCGGUUAGAGCGGCAGUAUCAUAAACUGUAGGUCGUGGGUUCAAAUCCCACCCCUGGCA
Molecule: transfer RNA, 73 nt
Filed under: Patescibacteria group bacterium
Lineage: Bacteria
Also listed under: 1 other name
Description: tRNA-Met
Rfam family: tRNA
About the family: Transfer RNA (tRNA) molecules are approximately 80 nucleotides in length. Their secondary structure includes four short double-helical elements and three loops (D, anti-codon, and T loops).
Source: RNAcentral